Molecule: unclassified non-coding RNA, 330 nt
Filed under: Hevea brasiliensis (rubber tree)
Lineage: Eukaryota; Viridiplantae; Streptophyta; Magnoliopsida; Malpighiales; Euphorbiaceae
Source: RNAcentral
ACUAGAACUGCUGCUUUUCUCAUCUCCAGUAGCUGCUAGGGGAGAAUCAGAGACGCCACUAACACCAAUAUUUCUAGCUUGUCCCUCUUUUAAGUUAUUACCCAUUGUUGCAGAAGAUGGUGCCGAUUUCAUGGAACCUGGAGAUGCAGAUGCAAACUUGGUUGUGGUCUCCCCCUGGCCCAGCUUGACAGGAGCAUUUUUUGAUGCAGAAAGUUGUGCAGCAGAACUCUUCAUUGCAACCUCAAAAGAUGCACCUGAAUGCCUGUUUCCACCUUGUGAAACUUCUGGAAGACGUGGUCUUGCAGCCCAUGAGACAGCCUGGUUAGAACC